CGUGUAGGCGGUGCGGUAAGUUGGGCGUGAAAUCCCCGAGCUUAACUCGGGUGGGCCGUUCAAGACUGCCGUGCUAGGGUGCGGGAGAGGGAAGUGGAAUUUCCGGUGUAGCGGUGAAAUGCGUAGAUAUCGGGAGGAACACCUGCGGCGAAGGCGGCUUCCUGGACCGUAACCGACGCUGAGGCGCGAAAGCUAGGGGAGCAAACAGGAUUAGAUACCCUGGUAGUCCUAGCCCUAAACGAUGAGCACUGGGUGUGGCCCCUCACGAGGCCGUGCCGAAGCUAACGCAUUAAGUGCUCCGCCUGGGGAAUACGGUCGCAAGGCUGAA
This 328-nucleotide ribosomal RNA is filed under the name uncultured bacterium. RNAcentral describes it as "bacterial SSU rRNA". It matches the Rfam family "Bacterial small subunit ribosomal RNA", at positions 568 to 898 of the family's 1533-position model. The record is from RNAcentral.